GAAUCUCCAUCAGAUUGUCUUUUUAAAAAAAUCCAAGUCUUUGCCCUGCCUUGUACCAGGAAAAGCAUGAUUUACACAUUUGAGAGCUAGUGAAAGGAGUCCAUCCGUGUCCUUGUGAAUCUGCAGCCCAGACUGCUGAGUGUGCCAAGGGCAUUUAAAUGACCAGCCAUUGUUCUGCAGCCGAGAUUCACAGAGUGGCCAUGUUAAAAGAGUCUCGCUCUGUCACCCAGGCUGGAACGGAAUGGUGCCACCAGAGCUCACUGCAACCUAGACACCCUGGGCUCAAGAAACCCUCCCUCAUCAGCCUCCCAAGUAGCUGGGACUGCAGGAGCAAUACCAGACCACAACAGGUUCUUCAUCAAUAUUGAAUAAGCGCAUGAGGAUAUGUCCACCACAUUCUACAUAUUGCCUUCUGUAAUGAGGUGGUCUUUCACUGCCUGCUACCGUGGACACCGUAUGGAAGAGACUGGUGGGUUUGUGAGAUUAAAACGGACAUCAUGUGCCUCUCAGCAUGAUGUGCUGAGAAGACAUGGCUUGUGCAGGCUUCUGUAGAAGUGCAGAAUCUGAACAGGAUCACGAGGAGCAAAUCAGACAGGCCCAGAUGAGGGGCAUCUGCACAUUCUGCAUUCUUCAAAAAUGGUUCAACUCGAAGGACAAAGCAAGGCUGAGGAGCUCUUUCAGAUUAAAGGAGACUCAUGUGACCUGGCAACUGCAAGCAACAUGUGAUUCUGGGUUGGAUCCCAGAACAGGGAAGAACAAUCUCUUUAAAAGGCAUUAGAAUGGAGUCAAUGGGGGAAAUUUGAGUAGGGAUUGUAUAUUUCAUCAUAGUAUUAUAUUAGUGGUACCUUUCAUGAAUAUGAUCUUCUUACUGUGGUUAUAUAACAGAACCUCCUUGUUCUUAGAGGUAAAGGGUCAAAAUAUUCACAACUUAACUCUUAAAUAGGUUAGCAAAAAUAAUAAUUAUAACGAUCAUAUAUAUAGAGUAAGAGAAAGGAAAAAGAGAGGGAGAUAAAGCAAAUGUGACAAAAUAUUAACAAUCAGUGAAUCCAAAGAGUGUAUGGAGUUCAUUGCAUUGUUCUUGCAACUUUUCUGUAAGGUUAAAAUUAUUUCAAAAUAAGUUUUUAAAAAUCUAGGCCUGGCACGGUGGCUCACGCCUGUAAUCCAGCACUUUGGAAAGCCAAGGCGGGCAGAUUGCAAGGUCAAGAGACAGAGACCAUCUUGGCCAACAUGGUAAAACCUUGUCUCUACUAAAAAUUCAAAAAUUAGCUGGGUGUGGUGGCACGCGCCUGUAGUCCCAGCCAGUUGGGAGGCUGAGGCAGGAAAAUUACUUGAACCCAAGAGGCAGAGGUUGCAGUGAGCUGAGAUUGCACCACUGCACUCCAGCCUGGCAACAGAGUGAGUCUCUGUUUCAGAACAAACAAACAAAAAAACCCAAAUCUGUUUGUGUUAAAGUCGGGGGUAAAGCCAUGGAGACAGAUGUAGCAUAAUAAAAGCAAUGGCUAAGACACACAGUGCUUUGCAAUGUGCCCGGCACCUUAUACAUAUUACAUUGUGUAAUCCUCAAAGCCACCUAUCAGGUAGGUAUUACUAUUGUCAUCUCCAUUUUACAGAUGGGGGAACUUCGGCUCCAAGAAGCUGAGUAUUUUAAAUCAGCAAGAUCUCAGAGUCAGUAAGUGGAAGA
Callithrix jacchus (white-tufted-ear marmoset) is the source of this 1681-nucleotide non-coding RNA. The record is from RefSeq and is a predicted model, not a curated record. NCBI's taxonomy places the organism in Eukaryota, Metazoa, Chordata, Mammalia, Primates, Cebidae.